CGUGUAGGCGGUCUCGUAUGUCUGACGUGAAAGCCCCGGGCUCAACCCGGGAAGUGCGUUGGAAACUGCGAGACUAGAGUCUCGGAGAGGAAGGUGGAAUUCCAGGUGUAGCGGUGAAAUGCGUAGAUAUCUGGAAGAACACCGGUGGCGAAGGCGGCCUUCUGGACGAUGACUGACGCUGAGACGCGAAAGCGUGGGGAGCAAACA
Molecule: ribosomal RNA, 207 nt
Filed under: uncultured bacterium
Lineage: Bacteria
Description: partial 16S ribosomal RNA
Rfam family: Bacterial small subunit ribosomal RNA
Source: RNAcentral